Molecule: long non-coding RNA, 3072 nt
Organism: Scophthalmus maximus (turbot)
Lineage: Eukaryota; Metazoa; Chordata; Actinopteri; Pleuronectiformes; Scophthalmidae
Source: Ensembl
GGGAGGGCGUCGUUAGAGAGCCCAGGCCAGCGGGUCCUCCCCCCAACCCCCCCGUCGCUAAGCCCCACGGAGAGUUCAAACUCCGGCUCCCGGCGAGCGCCGCCUAAUCUGCCAUCUGCGGCCCAAACCUUAACAUUUCCUAAACGCGCCGAGCUCCAUUCAAAACACAAAGCCUGCACAUGGGACAGCCCCCCCCCCGGACCCCUCCCCCUCCCGUGCUAGAUCUGCACGACCGCUCACAUACAUGACAGCAGACAUAAUAGUGAUAUUCAGGGGGUUACGGCGACAUUAAUACUAGACACACGUGGUAUGAAUCAUACAAGAAUAUCACAGGAAAAGUCAAACGUGAAGCAGACACACACACACACACGCGCGCACACACACACACACACACACACACGUCCAGCAUGCUAUGCUACGCGCGGCUACACGGAGACAUGCCCACUUGCCCGGGAUGCUAUAGCGUUAGCAUGCUAGGCGGCUCGCUAGCAGCCCCCGAGCCGAUUGUAAAUAUUAACGUUAGCACAACAACAACAACAAAAAAAGCGGGAGCGCGCACCGAGGCUGGCCGGUGCCGACGCGGACUCAACGCCGGAGCCCCCGGCCCACGACGAGGAGCCGCGGCCCGGCGCGUCAGAGUCGGACGACAGACAGGCGAGUGAGCGAGCCGGGGGAUGGAGACCGUCACCGGGGUGGGAGCGACCCCUGGUGGCCAAACUACAGUAUAGGGGGGAAACUACAUGAAAGUAAAAGACAGAUUCAUUUCAACAGAUCAACAGAUUCAGCUUUUUUUCAGAUUUUAAAAAGGCCCAUGUGUGUUCAUGAAAUAAAAUGAAUCAGUUCUACUUACCUAGAUUCAUACAAUUACUAACGGUAUUUUUACACCUCCUGUUUGCACUGCACUGUUUGCACCAUCACAUGUUGCACAUCUUAUAUAUAUAUUUUAAAAUUGUAAAGUAUUGAAGUAUUCUUAUUUUAUAUUUUGUUUUUGUUUUGUAAGCAUUCUGUUUUCUCUUCCUUGUUUUGUUUUUGCUGGCAUUGACAUUUGUGAGUUUGACAAUUAUAUUUCCACAAAAAAACAUAUAAUCAAAUAAACAUGUAACAUUAACACAAAUGCAUAUAUUAUAUUGGUUUCAAAAUGUAGUGUGAUUAUGUACUGAGCUUAAACAAAUUUACAGUUUAAAACAUAAACUUGUCCAUGCUUUCAAGAAGACGCACUGUGUACUCGCAUCACGCUUUCUAUAUUGCUUUAAACGUAUUGUUGGUGUUUCUGUACUUGCUAAACCUGCUGUCUUCGCACAUUCAACAGUAAAAAAAAAAAUAUUUACAUAACACAUUUACAUUCAUCCUAACGUAUUUACAUUCAUCCAUGACGUACUAGACACAGUAUUGUAUGUACACUGCAAUGAAUGUUUCGUUCUCUUUGUUCCGAGUAGUUGACAUCGUUUUAUGUCUGUGUGUAUCUGUGUGUAUCUUCCUGUAAUUUCUUUUUUUUGGCAAUAGAAUUACAAUUCCACAGUAUGGAACCAUACUAAUUCUAUGCUUGAACAUUUAACCUAGUUUCUAUUCCUUAUUAUUCUAUAACUAACUAUAUUCGUAUACCAAAAUAGAGCAUUCUCCUUAAAAGUGGUCAUAACAUCUCAAAACAAACUUUAUUUUAAAAAUGGUAUUACAUACGAUCAAACAAGCUACUUCCAGUUGAACAUGCACUGCUGGGACUGCUUUGACUUGCUAGUAAGAAAGUUGCAGAAACUGAGUUUUUAAAAAAGAAUUUGAAAUAAAGUCCCAUAUUAAAAAAUAAACAGUCAUUUUAUCAACCAGUGUUAAUAACCAUGUUCAAUAAUUUAUCACAAGAAUAUGAAAUGAAGACAAAUAAGAAUAGGAAUUCAACAGAUGUUUUUGCAGCGUUACUGCUGCACACAGCACUGCUCUAGUUUCAUUUAAACUGCGCUCUAGUUUUAUGUGUUUGACUAAAAACGUGGGGUGUUGUGCCUUGAGCAUAACAUGAAUAGAGUGUGAUUAUCAGUGCACACAAGGCUUAACUUAUUAACCACAAUUUGUUCCAGUUUGAAAUGUUCUAACAUUCUGAACAUCACAAUCAAUAGAGAAAUAUCUUUCAAACUUAACCAAACAUAAUCCAUCCUGCCAGGUUUAUGUCACUUAGUGUAUACGGUAGCAUAUUCCUUAAAAAGUGUGAACAAAAAUAAGAUAAUAAUAACAUGGCACUGCACUAUAUAUAUAUAUAUAUCAAAAGAUAUUCCAGAUAAGAUGUGUAGGUGUGAAAAUUAGAAAUAGGCGCCAUUUGGUAAUGCCAUGCCAAUUAGGUCUGUGUAGCAACUGUAACUAUGUGAUUUGAAGAAACACCCAGCAGUUCAAUUGUGUGUAAUGGUCACCUGGCAGCACUGCUAAUGCCCAUUUCAGCCUACGCUGGGCAGGCCAUGGCCCAGUGGCCCCCUGCACCCCAGGCAAUUAUGUCUGGUUUCACACGGUGAAAAGGGUUAAUUGGCAGCGCCCACGCGCCUGAUUGGACCUGUUUCACGCCUGUCGGCCUUCAUCGCAUCAAAGGAAGCCCCAGUACACCAGGGAACAUUAUUAGUGCACGCACACACGCACACACGCACACACACACACACACACACACACACACACACACACACACACACACACCUCAUGCACAUGCACUGUACACAGACUCUACCUAAAUGCAAUGCUCUUCUGAUUGUACAUGAUGUGGAGGAGAAAAAAACACAUGCAAGUAUUCUGUGAAUGACACACACACACACACACACACACACACACACACAAAGACAAACAAAAUACACAACGCACACUCACAUGUACCUGCAGAUAUACAAUCAUAAAGAAAGUAUUGUAUUAUAUUAUUAGUAUUCUUUGUCCUCAUGCAGUCAUGAGUGUGUAUGAACACAGGCGUUAUGCAAAUUGCUUCCUGGAUAAUUCUGACUAUUAUCACUAGGGGUCAGUGUUGGUUUAUACAAAGCAGGGCCAUUACAAUCUGCCUCCCACAUUCACUCCAUCAUGACACAUGGGAGCUCCCCUCUGAGCACAGCACAG